Molecule: ribosomal RNA, 734 nt
Filed under: Bacillus sp. ES-027
Lineage: Bacteria; Bacillati; Bacillota; Bacilli; Caryophanales; Bacillaceae
Description: bacterial SSU rRNA
Rfam family: Bacterial small subunit ribosomal RNA
Source: RNAcentral
CAUGCAAGUCGAGCGAAUGGAUUGAGAGCUUGCUCUCAAGAAGUUAGCGGCGGACGGGUGAGUAACACGUGGGUAACCUGCCCAUAAGACUGGGAUAACUCCGGGAAACCGGGGCUAAUACCGGAUAACAUUUUGAACUGCAUGGUUCGAAAUUGAAAGGCGGCUUCGGCUGUCACUUAUGGAUGGACCCGCGUCGCAUUAGCUAGUUGGUGAGGUAACGGCUCACCAAGGCAACGAUGCGUAGCCGACCUGAGAGGGUGAUCGGCCACACUGGGACUGAGACACGGCCCAGACUCCUACGGGAGGCAGCAGUAGGGAAUCUUCCGCAAUGGACGAAAGUCUGACGGAGCAACGCCGCGUGAGUGAUGAAGGCUUUCGGGUCGUAAAACUCUGUUGUUAGGGAAGAACAAGUGCUAGUUGAAUAAGCUGGCACCUUGACGGUACCUAACCAGAAAGCCACGGCUAACUACGUGCCAGCAGCCGCGGUAAUACGUAGGUGGCAAGCGUUAUCCGGAAUUAUUGGGCGUAAAGCGCGCGCAGGUGGUUUCUUAAGUCUGAUGUGAAAGCCCACGGCUCAACCGUGGAGGGUCAUUGGAAACUGGGGAGACUUGAGUGCAGAAGAGGAAAGUGGAAUUCCAUGUGUAGCGGUGAAAUGCGUAGAGAUAUGGAGGAACCCCAGUGGCGAAGGCGACUUUCUGGUCUGUAACUGACACUGAGGCGCGAAAGCGUGGGGA